Peromyscus maniculatus bairdii (prairie deer mouse) is the source of this 1166-nucleotide non-coding RNA. The record is from RefSeq and is a predicted model, not a curated record. NCBI's taxonomy places the organism in Eukaryota, Metazoa, Chordata, Mammalia, Rodentia, Cricetidae.
UGUCUGACAAACCGAAACCAGAACAAUAAAAUGUACCUGAAUUUGCUUCCAGACUGACUUCCUCAGCCCCAGAUGGGCCGUGGCCAGCUUGACAGACAAGAACUCUGUCCUCGGUGGGAUUCUUGCUGCAACAAGUAAUUUUUUUUUUUAACUACAUCAUAUCAUUUUGGGAUGAGAAAACGUAGACAAUGAAGCCGUGCACAGCUGCUUUCAGAACUCACUCCUUCAGGCUGUCUGACCGCCUCCGGUCUCUUCCCCAGGAUGAACUUCGACUCCGAGAUCUCCUCUGGCUGGGGCUCCUGGAUCGCCUGUGGUUACUUGGAGAGCACAGGUGGCGUUCUUUGGACUUCAUUUGGCCUGGUGCUGGAAUACGAAGAACAAGGCUUCUAAUGGUUCCCUACCUGAAAACCACAGUUGCUGCCACUCAGUCGAUAUCACUUUCUGAAGAACUUUAAGUAAAACGCUACUGUUGCUGAGGCCCAUUCUGUUAAGUAAUCGAGAGCUAAUGGUCAUUUACACUUACUUUUGCGAUCACCUUGUGCAAACUGUAUUUCAAUUUGCCGGCCACAUACCCACUUCCUAUUGAGGUUAUAAAGGGCAUCUUCAGCAUCUCGAACAUCUUCAAACAUGAUCAGCUGUUAAGGACACUUUGGACAUCAGAUGGAUUUCUCUGUGUAACAGCUUUAGCUGUCCUGGAACUUGCUUUAUAGACCAGGCCGGCCUCGUACAUUAAAUUUGGGCCAUAAGCACUGUCUGAACAGCACAGAGGAAAUUGCAAGGCCUAAGGUGCGCAUCCUGAGAUGAGACAGCCCCAGUUCCUCCGGAAGGUUAGUGGGCGGCGUCUGCAGGACGCAGUGACAACAAGGCCGGGACCAUCACUGCCACCACAGCCAGCACCUCGACACCCGGCCAGCAUCCUGACAUCACGACAGCACCCAGUCAGCACCCCAACACCCCGACAGCCCGUAGUCCGGUGUCCCGACACCAGUCCAGCACCCCAACCCCCGACUGGUACCCGGACACCUGGCUGGCACUCUGACAGCCUGCAACUCAGCACCGGGGUACCGGGCCAGCAUCCGACAGCCAGACAGCCCACUGCCCAGCCCGCACCCCGACACCUCGCCGCCCCGGCCCGUACUCGCGCAGGGUCCCGUCUUGGUUCACCU